UACGUAGGUGGCAAGCGUUAUCCGGAAUUAUUGGGCGUAAAGCGCGCGCAGGCGGUUUCUUAAGUCUGAUGUGAAAGCCCACGGCUCAACCGCGGAGGGUCAUUGGAAACUGGGGAACUUGAGUGCAGAAGAGAAAAGCGGAAUUCCACGUGUAGCGGUGAAAUGCGUAGAGAUGUGGAGGAACACCAGUGGCGAAGGCGGCCGGCUGGGCCGGAUCCGACGCUGAGGCGCGAAAGCGUGGGGAGCAAACAGG
RNAcentral lists this ribosomal RNA (253 nucleotides) under uncultured bacterium. Its description in RNAcentral is "partial 16S ribosomal RNA". It matches the Rfam family "Bacterial small subunit ribosomal RNA", at positions 524 to 776 of the family's 1533-position model. The record is from RNAcentral.